RNAcentral lists this ribosomal RNA (420 nucleotides) under uncultured archaeon. RNAcentral's name for it is "partial 16S ribosomal RNA". It matches the Rfam family "Archaeal small subunit ribosomal RNA", at positions 323 to 746 of the family's 1478-position model. The record is from RNAcentral.
CUACGGGGGGCAGCAGUUAGGAAUCAUCUACAAUGCGCGUAAGCGUGAUAGUUUGAGCCAGAGUGUGUUUCAAUGAAAUGCUUUUGCUUAGUGUAAAAAGCUAGGCGAAUAAGGACUGGGUAAGACAGGUGCCAGCCGCCGCGGUAAUACCUGCGGUCCAAGUCGCAGCCAUAUUUAUUAGGUCUAAAACAUCCGUAGCUUGCUUAAUAAGUUUCUUGUGAAAUCUCACAUCUUAAGUGUGAGGCGUGCAAGAAGUACUGUUGAGCUAGAGACUGAAAGACGUAAGAAGUAUGUUCGAAGUAGUGGUAAAAUACGUUAAUCUCGGACAGACUCACAACAGCGAAGGCAUCUUACGAGGACAGUUCUGACAGUAAGGGAUGAAGGCUAGGGGCGCAAAACGGAUUAGAUACCCCCGUAGUC